Molecule: long non-coding RNA, 681 nt
Organism: Helianthus annuus (common sunflower)
Lineage: Eukaryota; Viridiplantae; Streptophyta; Magnoliopsida; Asterales; Asteraceae
Exons: 2
Source: RefSeq, a predicted model, not a curated record
AUCUACUAAACGGGUGAGGUAGAUCGACUGUUUACGACGCAGACCCAUUUAGACCCAAUCUAAGUGUCUUAUUUCAUGACCGGUUCAUGUUAUGUUUUGUAUCGUUUCAGAAAUUGCCACCCCUAAUUUAAACCUUGUAGUUUUGAUAAUCGUCAACAAAACCCCAUAAACUUUUACUGAUUUUGCACUUAUGUCCCUGGACUUUAAUUUUUAUCCCUAAACUUCUAAAACUUAACAAAAAGUCCUUUUAGUAACGUUUGGACGCUUAAUCAUGCAAAACAAACAUGGAUAAACUUUGAAAGGUUCAGGUAUAUAACCAAUGGAAAAAGGACCUUUUAUGUUAAUCGUAAAAUGCAUGACUUUAUCGUUAAGUUCUAAAAGUUACGGGAUUUGAUCAUGCAAAAAUAAAGUUCAUAGGGUUUCUUCAAAAUUUUCAUUUUUACAUGUUCUAUCCAUUUGUCAUAAUAACAAAACAAACAGGAGCUUCUAGCACUUCGGGAAAGGAUCGGAAGUGUUAGUACUGGUCUGUCGGAGAAUCAGAUUUCAAAGUGUUUAAGAGAGUCGAUAUACUGUUCUUCUGAGCAGCUAUGAGAGGAAGGAACAUGUGUGAUCUGUUUGGAAGAGUAUGCAAAUAUGGAUGAUGUAGGGAUGUUAAAAGGUUGCAAACAUGAUUUCCAUGUU